RNAcentral lists this long non-coding RNA (311 nucleotides) under Capsicum annuum. Its description in RNAcentral is "long non-coding RNA (CANN_LNC009828)". The record is from RNAcentral. Lineage: Eukaryota; Viridiplantae; Streptophyta; Magnoliopsida; Solanales; Solanaceae.
GCGUAUAUUGGUUAUAGGUGAUGCAUAUGUAAUUAUGAAUGCAACAAAAUCCACAAAAUCAUAAUACCAACAUCAUAACUAUCAUCAUCCUAAUUAUAAUCAUCCUCUGACUUUGCCGGGUGUGUGUAUAAAUAUACAUACAUACAUAUAUAUACACUUGUAAUACAUAGGGCUAUCCGGACUAGAACUGGAUGAUAUGCACAUAGACACAUCAAUAUAAUCAUCCUCCAUCUAUGCCUUGUAUCAAUAUAAUUGUCAUAACAUCCUCUAGCCUUGUUGGGUAUUAUCACAUCAUCAUAAUUUCCUCCGGC